ACGCUCGACACCUACGGGAGCAGCAGUGAGGAAUAUUGGUCAAUGGGCGCUAGCCUGAACCAGCCAAGUAGCGCGAAGGAUGAAGGCUCUAUGGGUCGUAAACUUCUUUUAUAUAAGAAUAAAGUGCAGUAUGUAUACUGUUUUGUAUGUAUUAUAUGAAUAAGGAUCGGCUAACUCCGUGCCGANAGCCGCGGUAAUCUGAGCGGGCUGGCAAGGC
This 217-nucleotide ribosomal RNA is filed under the name uncultured bacterium. Its description in RNAcentral is "partial 16S ribosomal RNA". It matches the Rfam family "Bacterial small subunit ribosomal RNA", at positions 328 to 539 of the family's 1533-position model. The record is from RNAcentral.